UGCAAGUCGAACGGCAGCACGGGGGGCAACCCUGGUGGCGAGUGGCGAACGGGUGAGUAAUACAUCGGAACGUGUCCUGUAGUGGGGGAUAGCCCGGCGAAAGCCGGAUUAAUACCGCAUACGAUCUGCGGAUGAAAGCGGGGGCUCCUUCGGGACCUCGCGCUGCAGGGGCGCCCGAUGGCAGAUUAGCUAGUUGGUGGGGUAAAGGCCUACCAGGGCGACGAUCUGUAUCUGGUCUGAGAAGACGACCAGCCACAGUGGGACUGACACACGGCCCAGACUCCUACGGGAGGCAGCAGUGGGGAAUUUUGGACAGUGGGCGAAAGCCUGAUCCAGCAGUGCCGCGUGUGUGAAGAAGGCCUUCGGUUUGUAAAGCACUUUUGUCCGGAAAGAAAACCUCGUGGUUAAUACGUGAGGGAUAUGACGGUACCGGAAGAAUAAGCACCGGCUAACUACGUGCCAGCACCCGCGGUAAUACGUAGGGUGCAAGCGUUACUCGGA
This 501-nucleotide ribosomal RNA is filed under the name Paraburkholderia aromaticivorans. Its description in RNAcentral is "bacterial SSU rRNA". It matches the Rfam family "Bacterial small subunit ribosomal RNA", at positions 56 to 549 of the family's 1533-position model. The record is from RNAcentral. Lineage: Bacteria; Pseudomonadati; Pseudomonadota; Betaproteobacteria; Burkholderiales; Burkholderiaceae.